CUACGGGAGGCUGCAGUGGGGAAUAUUGCACAAUGGAGGAAACUCUGAUGCAGCAACGCCGCGUGGAGGAUGACACUUUUCGGAGCGUAAACUCCUUUUAUAUAGGAAGAAGAUGACGGUACUAUAUGAAUAAGCGCCGGCCAACUCCGUGCCAGCAGCCGCGGUAAUACGGAGGGCGCAAGCGUUACUCGGAAUCACUGGGCGUAAAGAGGGUGUAGGCGGAUUAAAAGGUCAGAAGUGAAAUCCUAUAGCUUAACUAUAGAACUGCUUCUGAAACUCUUAAUCUAGAAUGUGGGAGAGGUAGAUGGAAUUUCUGGUGUAGGGGUAAAAUCCGUAGAGAUCAGAAGGAAUACCGAUUGCGAAGGCGAUCUACUAGAACAUUAUUGACGCUGAGACGCGAAAGCGUGGGGAGCAAACAGGAUUAGAUACCCCAGUAGUC
This 439-nucleotide ribosomal RNA is filed under the name uncultured bacterium. RNAcentral describes it as "partial 16S ribosomal RNA". It matches the Rfam family "Bacterial small subunit ribosomal RNA", at positions 339 to 795 of the family's 1533-position model. The record is from RNAcentral.